RNAcentral lists this ribosomal RNA (1346 nucleotides) under uncultured bacterium. RNAcentral describes it as "partial 16S ribosomal RNA". It matches the Rfam family "Bacterial small subunit ribosomal RNA", at positions 28 to 1381 of the family's 1533-position model. The record is from RNAcentral.
GACGAACGCUGUCGGCGUGCUUAACACAUGCAAGUCGAACGGAAAGGCCCUGCUUUUGUGGGGUGCUCGAGUGGCGAACGGGUGAGUAACACGUGAGUAACCUGCCCUUGACUUUGGGAUAACUUCAGGAAACUGGGGCUAAUACCGGAUAGGAGCUCCUGCUGCAUGGUGGGGGUUGGAAAGUUUCGGCGGUUGGGGAUGGACUCGCGGCUUAUCAGCUUGUUGGUGGGGUAGUGGCUUACCAAGGCUUUGACGGGUAGCCGGCCUGAGAGGGUGACCGGCCACAUUGGGACUAAGAUACGGCCCAGACUCCUACGGGAGGCAGCAGUGGGGAAUAUUGCACAAUGGGCGGAAGCCUGAUGCAGCAACGCCGCGUGCGGGAUGACGGUCUUCGGGUUGUAAACCGCUUUCGCCUGUGACGAAGCGUGAGUGACGGUAAUGGGUAAAGAAGCACCGGCUAACUACGUGCCAGCAGCCGCGGUGAUACGUAGGGUGCGAGCGUUGUCCGGAUUUAUUGGGCGUAAAGGGCUCGUAGGUGGUUGAUCGCGUCGGAAGUGUAAUCUUGGGGCUUAACCCUGAGCGUGCUUUCGAUACGGGUUGACUUGAGGAAGGUAGGGGAGAAUGGAAUUCCUGGUGGAGCGGUGGAAUGCGCAGAUAUCAGGAGGAACACCAGUGGCGAAGGCGGUUCUCUGGGCCUUUCCUGACGCUGAGGAGCGAAAGCGUGGGGAGCGAACAGGCUUAGAUACCCUGGUAGUCCACGCUGUAAACGGUGGGUACUAGGUGUGGGGUCCAUUCCACGGGUUCCGUGCCGUAGCUAACGCUUUAAGUACCCCGCCUGGGGAGUACGGCCGCAAGGCUAAAACUCAAAGGAAUUGACGGGGCCCCGCACAAGCGGCGGAGCAUGCGGAUUAAUUCGAUGCAACGCGUAGAACCUUACCUGGGUUUGACAUGGAUCGGGAGUGCUCAGAGAUGGGUGUGCCUCUUUUGGGGUCGGUUCACAGGUGGUGCAUGGCUGUCGUCAGCUCGUGUCGUGAGAUGUUGGGUUAAGUCCCGCAACGAGCGCAACCCUUGUUCACUGUUGCCAGCACGUUAUGGUGGGGACUCAGUGGAGACCGCCGGGGUCAACUCGGAGGAAGGUGGGGAUGACGUCAAGUCAUCAUGCCCCUUAUGUCCAGGGCUUCACGCAUGCUACAAUGGCUGGUACAGAGAGUGGCGAGCCUGUGAGGGUGAGCGAAUCUCGGAAAGCCGGUCUCAGUUCGGAUUGGGGUCUGCAACUCGACCUCAUGAAGUCGGAGUCGCUAGUAAUCGCAGAUCAGCAACGCUGCGGUGAAUACGUUCCCGGGGCU